GCCCCCGCCUUCCUUCCCACCCCGCGUCGGGCCGAGCCCCGCUCGAGCCGUCCCUCCCGACGCCGUUCCCGACACAGUCGCCGAGGGGCCGCGGCCGGGGUUUGGGGGGAUCUGGGGGAAGCGGGUUCCGAGCGCCUCCCGCUCCCAUCUCCUGUUUCACGGCGACGUGCCGUUACCCGGAGGAGCUACGGGAAGGGAAGCGCGGAUCCUGCGCGGAUCCUGCGCGAUCACAGCGGUCCCCGCGCGGCGCCGCCCCCGUCUCGGGCCCGUCGGCACCGCGCGGCCCUUCCCCGGCGGCACAAACCCCUCCGCCCCCCGCGGAGCCCGGCAGCGCCUCGGAGGAGCGGGGACGAGCCGAGCUCAGCGGCAGCACCGCGACCAGCGGGACCCCGCGCGGCCGCCCCCGCCCCGCUCCGCUCCGCUCCGCUCCGCUCCGCUCCCCGCCCCGCGGUACCUGCAGCGCCGCCGCCUCGGCCCGGACCUGCCACGGACACUGAGGACAGUGACACACUGAGGACAGUGACGCACCGAGCGCGGACGAGCCUCCGCUCCCCCCGCACGGAGCCGGGCGCUGCCGGGGGCGGUGCCGCGCAGCGAGGCCGCCCCGUGGGGGGCGCGGCCUGUCGGGAGGGGCGGGGGAGAUGGCGGCGUGGGCGCCGUGCUGCUGCUGGGGGGGGGGGGGUUGUGCAGCGUGACGGCCGGCAGCCGGGACCGGGGCCGUCCGCGGUUGUCCCUGAACUGUCUCCGUGCAGCGGGGACUCGAGGCUGCUCAGCGUGUCACGGCUUCUGGCUGCCAACGGGAAACCGCGCGUGGGAGCGCUGGGGAAGGCAACGGAAAAUAAACGGGGCCAGGGGCGCAGCGGGUCGGGGCUGCGGGGCCGAGCUCCCUCCGCAGCUGCAGGGGCGGCCGGGCCGCAGCGCCGGGCUCAUAACGAGGCUCAGCCGGGAAGAAGCUGCACGAACCCACCCGGCGCUGCCCGGCGAGUUUAUUUGUGCGAGCCUUGGUGA
RNAcentral lists this long non-coding RNA (1008 nucleotides) under Coturnix japonica (Japanese quail). Its description in RNAcentral is "lncRNA (ENSCJPG00005012343.1)". The record is from RNAcentral. Lineage: Eukaryota; Metazoa; Chordata; Aves; Galliformes; Phasianidae.